Molecule: non-coding RNA, 444 nt
Filed under: Klebsiella pneumoniae IS43
Lineage: Bacteria; Pseudomonadati; Pseudomonadota; Gammaproteobacteria; Enterobacterales; Enterobacteriaceae
Description: LSU rRNA
Rfam family: Bacterial large subunit ribosomal RNA
Source: RNAcentral
GGUUAAGCGACUAAGCGUACACGGUGGAUGCCCUGGCAGUCAGAGGCGAUGAAGGACGUGCUAAUCUGCGAAAAGCGUCGGUAAGGUGAUAUGAACCGUUACAGCCGGCGAUGUCCGAAUGGGGAAACCCAGUGCAAUUCGUUGCACUAUCGUUAACUGAAUACAUAGGUUAACGAGGCGAACCGGGGGAACUGAAACAUCUAAGUACCCCGAGGAAAAGAAAUCAACCGAGAUUCCCCCAGUAGCGGCGAGCGAACGGGGAGCAGCCCAGAGUCUGAAUCAGCUUGUGUGUUAGUGGAACGGUCUGGAAAGUCCGACGGUACAGGGUGAUAGUCCCGUACACCAAAAUGCACAGGUUGUGAACUCGAAGAGUAGGGCGGGACACGUGGUAUCCUGUCUGAAUAUGGGGGGACCAUCCUCCAAGGCUAAAUACUCCUGACUGAC